Non-coding RNA from Polyrhizophydium stewartii, 73 nucleotides. NCBI's taxonomy places the organism in Eukaryota, Fungi, Chytridiomycota, Chytridiomycetes, Rhizophydiales. The record is from the annotation of a GenBank genome assembly.
GGCCACGUGGCGCAAUGGAUAGCGCGUUGGACUUCGGAUCCAGAGGCUGCGAGUUCGAGUCUCGUCGUGGUCG